Molecule: long non-coding RNA, 8655 nt
Filed under: Aquilegia coerulea
Lineage: Eukaryota; Viridiplantae; Streptophyta; Magnoliopsida; Ranunculales; Ranunculaceae
Description: long non-coding RNA (ACOE_LNC002309)
Source: RNAcentral
AUUUCAUCCCCUUUCACGAAGUUUUAACUUUUACCAUAUACAGUAGUUUCUUCAUACUUAUUGAGAGAUCCCCAAAUGUUAUUUCAUCAAUAAUGGACAUAUAAGUUUCUGGAGAGUUUGAAAUGAGAUUUGUCCAUCGGCAAGGAGUGCUAGCCCAGGGAACAGAAAAAGUUUUGCUCAUUUAGUUAAACUACAUGAGUACAGGUAACAGAAAAAGACUGCCCAAGUAUUGCUCAUUCAGUUUCACAGGUAACAAAAAAUAAUUUCCCAGAAGUGCAACAUAUGUCUGUAAUAGAAGUUUUGCCAAAAUCUAAAGAACCCCUUAAAUGGUCUUAUCUGCAUAUUCUUUUGAACUUAUGAUUCACUCCAAUUGAUGCAUUUGCCAGAAGAUUUCCUGUGUAUUUUUUAUAAACUUGAAUGUAAGUCUACAUCUGUCUGGUGCUUUUGAAAAAUCCAUUUCGUGCUGUUGGGAUGUAUAAAUGUAUUGGUAAGUGUCAUCAUUCAUGAGCCAUGUAUGUAAAAUGGGUAGAAUGGAAGAUGUAAUAUGUUCCUUUAACUGUUGUAAAUACAUACAGUAUUUAUAUGGCUGUCUAGUGAUUUUCUACUUCACAAUGCCUAGAGAGUGCUAUCAAUAAUUUGGGUUGGUCUAUCAAUGGUUUUUUUGAUAAAGGUUGGUCUAUCAAUGUGAUCCAGCAAAAUUAUGUGGCUUGAUUAUUGAGACCACAAGUUUGGCAUUCCUUAUGGAACGUCCCUUGGUGACAUCUGUCAUUCCCAUUUGAAUGACAUCAAACUCUAUGUGCUCUGCCACCACGACCACAGCCUCUAAGACUGAGCAGAAAAUCUCCAUUGAACAAAGCCUAAACACGAAGCCUCUCGAAAAACCCUCAUUGCUUUUCUUUUAAAUCUUAUACACAUUUCCUUACUUGGCUUUACAAUAGGAUUCCAUAUGCACAAGACCGAAAGGUUCUCUUAGUUGAUAUUUUCUUCGGGUAUACACUAUAUGGAUGGAAAUACUGGGAUAGGAUGUGAUUAUUAGGGAUGGCAAUGGACCGGUUCGGACCGGAUAUUAGAAAUAUCAUACCCGAACCAAUAAGAAAACUAAUAAUUUUGGACCCGAAACCGGACCCUAUCGGGUCCGAAAGUAAGGAACCAUACCCGUACCAAAUCUUAUCGGGUUGGAUUCGGGUAUUUUGACCAUAAAUUGAUAUGUCAAAAUUAUGUAUACAAAUUUAGAAAAAAAUGAGUUACUUUUUAAGAAUCUAGAUAUAUUUAGUAAAUAUAUAAUCAAGUAUACAAAUAUAGUAUAUGAUUUUAUUUAUUUCUAUAUUUUUAAUGUAAUUGCAUAUACUUAUAAGGUAAUUAGUAUUAAAAAAUUUAUUUACAAAAAUCAAAUUUCUAAAAUUUAAGAUUUUUAUGCUAUGUUAAUAAUGGUAGUGAAUCUAAAAUAUUCAAAACCUCAAAAUAAUUUAUAUCGGGUCCAUAUCGAUUCGGUAUCUACUAAUUCCAAACCCGAUCCGAUAACAAUCAGGUCCUAAUUUUAAAAACCAGACCCGUACCAAUACAUAAAAAUACAAUAGCAAACCCGUUCUUAUCCGGACGGAUCGGACCGGGUUUCGGGUCUAACCCGUACCAUUGCCAGCCCUAGUGAUUAUAUACGGAGUGUUUUAAACUAAGAUCGGAAAAAGUUCAGUGUUACGUUUAUGGACUUUGACUUAGUUUCUUAUUAGUUCUCGAAUAGUGUUUCUUAACUUGUUAUGAUGACUAUGUUCUAAAGUUGUCAAUUGUGAAUUUGUGCUGCAUCAAACUUUUGAUGCAUUUAGAGCCAACUUAUACAUUUGUAAAUUGUGCUGCAUCAAACUUUUGAUGACUAGAUAGGCCGUCUUACAGUAACGCUCCAAGAUUUCGUCCUCGCUUAUCUAGAAGUGUCGAGCACUAUACCGCUCGCUAAUGUCAAUAUUAUCCAGUAUAGGGUUUUGGAUCAGGGCCCACUCAUGGAUCACUGCGGAUAUCCAAGCACUCAGAUACCGAGAAAGUUUAGGUGAUCCUCGGAAUGUGGAAUGGGUGAUAAGUUCGGAGUUGGGUGGUUAUCUAAUAAUAAUUUAAUGUUUUGAAUGAAUUUCAUGUCGGGAAAAGGACGUGGUCAAGUAUAUCAGCUGACUCAGGACCAGAUGAAUCAGCUGUUGCUAGCAUUAGCAGGCAACAAUGGGGGUAAUGGUGAUCCUUUUGCUAAGAGGAACAAGGAUUUCCUCAAUCUGGGCGGUAUAAAAUUCGAUGGUAAGGGUGACGGGAAGGCUGUAGUGUUAUGGCUUCGACAGACAGAAGCAAUGUUUGCAAAGAUGGUAUUGACUGAAGAUCAGAAGUAGGAGUUCGCUGCGGAUAUCCAAGUACUCAGAUACCGAGAAGGUUUAGGUGAUCCUCGAAAUGUGGAAUGGGUGAUAAGUUCGGAGUUGGGUGGUUAUCUAAUAAUAAUUUAAUGUUUUGAAUAAAUUUCAUGCCGGGAAGAGGACGUGUUCAAGUAUAUCAGCUGACUCAAGACCAGAUGAAUCAGCUGUUCCUAGCAUUAGCAGGCAACAAUGGGGGUAAUGGUGAUCCUUUUGCUAAGAGGAACAAAGAUUUCCUCAAUCUGGGCGGUAUAAAAUUCGAUGGUAAGGGAGACGAGAAGGCUGUAGUGUUAUGGCUUCGACAGACAGAAACAAUGUUUGCAAAGAUGGUAUUAACUGAAGAUCAGAAGCAGGAGUUCGCUUCCCAUCAGUUGGAGGGUGGAGAAUUACUUUGGUGGGACGCUUUGAAGGUCGGGCUUGACCUCACCACUCUGACUUGGGAAGAGUUCAGGCACACUUUUGAGGGGGGAUAUCUUUCGAGUGCUUACAGAGAUCGACUAGUGGAUGAAUUUCUAAAUCUGAGACAGGGUACUAUGACUGUAGCUGAGUACACGAAUAGAUUCAAUGAGUUGUCCAUGUUUGCUCCGCAUAUGGUGGAUACAGUCGAGAAGAGAAAUCGUCGUUUCAUUAAGGGCCUAGGGCAUUAUGUGUCGAAGCAACUGAUUCUAUUUGAGCACGAGCCAUUUGAUAGAGUCCUGAACCUCGCAAUGAAGUAUGAGGAGAAGAAACAAGAGUUUAGAGCAGAAAAGAGCAAGAAGACAGGUGAUAACUCCAGAGACAAGAACCGACACAAGCCAUAUGAUCCUAACUUCAGGGGUUGACGUUAUGACAGCAACCCAAAGAGGAACCAAAGUUACAACAGGCCACCGGGAGAUAACCAGGGUUUCAGACACCGUGGUGGGCAUUGGCGUGGUGACAACAGAGCUAGAGCAGGCGCACCACCACCACCACCAGGGCAACCUGCCCCAGAUUUGCCUUACAGGCCAGCUUAUUUACCGUUACCAGCGCCAGCAGGGCCGAUCAGAGGUAACUGUUGGAACUGUGGAGGACCAGAAAAUCGUUCUGCUGAGUGUCGUCGACCAGUGAACAACAACCAGGGGAGGCCAGCACAUCAGCCAAAUUGAGGGAGAGUCUAUGCUGUUUUACCUGCAUUUCAGGGACUGGAAGGUAAUUUUGAUUGUUCACAGUUUAGAUUCUGAGUAUUAUUUGAUUAUGGGGCAUCACAUUUAUUUAUAGCUAAGUAGAUAGUAGAUAAGUUUCAGAUUGUGACUACACAUUUACCCCAGCCUUUAUAUCUUCGGACACCCAUGGGAGGUUCGACUUGUUUGUUCUACCAGUGUAAGAUCUUCAUUCUGUUAUUCAUGGGUAGACAGUUUGUUAUCGAACUGGUUGUUUUAGAUUUUGAGGGCUAUCAGUUCAUUUUGGGUUUUGACUGGUUAAGAGUCGUUAUCAUGUGAUUUUGGAUUGUGCUGGGAGGAGAGUUAGGAUACACCAUGUUUUCCCACAUUGGUACACAGUUGUGUUAGUAGAGAUGAUUCGAUUAUGUCCAGUUUUUUUAUGUCUAUGGUUGCCCAGUCGAUCGAUUUUUGUGAUGUGGCGAUAGUUAAGGAUUAUCUAGAUGUGUUUGAGGAGAUUCCCGGUUUACCACCCAAGAGAGAGGUGGAGUUUCGUAUUGAUUUGUUGCCAGGAAGGGCGCCUAUUUCUAAGACUGCUUACAGGAUGGCACCUAAGCAACAGGAAGAGAUGAAGACCCAGUUGGAGGAGUUACUUAAGAAAGGGUAUGUGAUAUUUGAUGUUUUAUUUGAUUUGGUUUACUCUUUUGGUAUAUAUGUGUGAGCCUUUUGAGGUGUGUAUGAACCACAUGUUCAUAUGUCCAAGCAAUUCUCCAUGGGGAGCUCCAGCUAUCUUUGUUUCUAAGAAGGAUGGGACUUUGAGGAUCUGCAUUGAUUACCGUGACCUGAACAAGGUGACAAUCAAGAACAAAUAUCUACUGCCGAGAAUAGAUGAUUUGUUUGAUAAGUUGAAAGGAGCAGUCGUGUUUUCUCAGUUUGAUUUGAGGACGGGUUACCUUCAGAUGGGUGUAAAGGAGAAGACUAUACCACUAACUACUUUCAGAACUCGAUAUGGAUUGUAUGAGUUUUUAGUGUUGCCUUUUGGGUUAACUAAUGCUCCAACAUUUUUCAUAGAUUUGAUGAACCAGAUUUUCAGGCCUUAUCUUGAUAGGUUUGUGAUCGUAUUCAUUGAUGAUAUUUUGGUGUACUCUAAGGGUGCUCAGGAGCAUGCAAAACACUUGAAGACAGUGUUGCAGAUAUUGAGGGAUCACAUGCUAUAUGCUAAGUUCACCAAAUGACAUUUCUAAAAGAAUUAAGUGCAUUUCUUAGGUCACGUGAUAUCCAGAGAGGUGAUUGUCGUUGACCCUGAGAAGGUUGCUGCAGUUAGGGAUUAGAAACACCAACCAACUCUACAGAGAUUCAAAGCUUUUUGGGUUUAGCUAGACAUUAUCGUCGUUUCAUUGAGAAGUUCUCACUCAUAGCUGAGCCAUUGACCAGACUUACGAGGAAGAAUGUGAAGUUCUUGUGGAUUGACGAUUGCGAGAGAGCUUUCCAGGAGCUUAUGCAGAGGUUGACUACAUCUCCAGUGUUAGUUAUACCGGUUAGAGGAGGCAAGCUGGUGGUAUUCACAGAUGCCACUGGUAGAGGACUUGGUUGUGUUCUGAUGCAAGAUGAGAGAGUGGUUUCUUAUGCUUUUAGACAGUUGAAGCAACAUGAGCGAAGAUAUCUAGUGCAUGAUUUAGAAUUGGCAGCUGUGGUAUUUGCUUUGAAGAUUUAGCGUCACUAUUUAUACGGAGAGAAGUUUGAUCUUUACACCGACCACAGGAGUCUGAAGUACUUGUUCUCUCAGAAGGACUUGAACAUAUGAGGCAACAGAGAUGGAUGAAGUUCAUUAGCAGUUAUGAUUUUCAGAUUCAGUAUCCGCCUGGGAAGGGUAAUGUUGUUGCAGAUGCACUGAGUAGGAAACAUGCCACCGUUGCUAUGAUGAUGAUGGAGGAGUGGAAAUCUUUGGAGACAAUAACGUCUCAUGAUGUGUACUUGCAGCAGGGAGGUGAACAGGUCACCAUUUGUUCUAUGGAGGUGAAGCCUAUGAUGAUUAGCUUGAUUGUGUCUAAGCAGCAUGAGGACCCUUUCUUGCACCGAAAGCUUGGGCAGUUAGUUGUGGAUUUGGACAGUUACUAACAAAACUGUGUACCGUUGUGGGUAAACCUUGUAUAUCCACUAUAACUCUCUUCUCAGCACAAUCCAAAAUCACAUGAUAACGACUCAACCAGUCAAAACCCAAAAUGAACUGAUAGCCCUCAAAAUCUAAAACAACUAGAUCAAUAACAAACUGUCUACCCAUGAAUGUCAGAAAGAAAGUUCUUACACUGGUAGAACAAACAAGUCGAACCUCCAACGGGUGUCCGAAAAUAUAAAGGUUGGGGUAAAGGUGUAGUCACAAUCUGAUACUUAUCUACUAUCUACUUAGCUAUAAAUGAAUGUGAUUCACCAGAAUCAAAUAAUACUCGGAAUCUAAACUGUGAACAAUCAAAAGUACCUUCCAGUCCCUAAAAUGCAGGCAAACCAACAUAGGCUCUCCCCCAAUUUGGCUGAUGUGCUGGCCUCCCCUGGUUAUUGUUUACUGGUCGACGACACUCAGCAGAACGAUGUCCUGGUCCUCCACAGUUCCAACAGUUACCCCUGAUCGGCCUUGCUAAUGCUGUUGGCGAUGUUAACGGUAAAGGUGCUGGCCUGUAAGGCAAACCUGGGGAAGGUUGCCCUGGUGGUGGUGGUGGUGGUGGUGCGCCUACUCUAGGUCUGUUGUCACCACGCCCAUACCCACCACGGUGUCUAAAACCCUGGUUAUCUCCUGGUGGCCUGUUGUAACCUUGGUUCCUCUCUGGGUUGUUUUCAUAACGUCGACCCCUGAAGUUAGGAUCAUAUGGUUUGUGUCGAUUCUUGUCUCUGGAGUUAUCACAUGUCUUCUUGCUCUUCUCUGCUCUAAUCUCCUGUUCCUUCUCCUCAUACUUAAUUGCGAGGUUCAGGACCUAAUUAAAUGGCUCGUGCUCAAAUAGAAUCAGUUGCUUCGACACAUAGUGCCCUAGGCCCUUAAUGAAACGAUGAUUUCUCUUCUCGACUGUAUCCAUCAUAUGCAGAGCAAACAUGGGCAACUCAUUGAAUCUAUUCGUGUACUCAGCUACAGUCAUAGUACCCUGUCGCAGAUUUAAAAAUUCAUCCACUAGUCAAUCUCUGUAAGCACUCGAAAGAUAUCUCCCCUCAAAAAUGUGUCUGAACUCUUCCCAAGUCAUAGUGGUGAGGUCAAGCUCGAUCUUCAAAGCGUCCCACCAAAGUAAUGCUCCACCCUCCAACUGAUGGGAAGCGAGCUCCUACUUCUGAAAUUCAAUUAAUACCAUUUUUACAAACACUGCUUCUGUUUGUCGAAGCUAACUGCAGCCUUCCCAUCUCCCUUACCAUCGAAUUUUAUACCGCCCAGAUUGAGGAAAUCUUUGUUCCUCUUAGCAAAAGGAUCACCAUUACCCCCAUUGUUGCCUGCUACUGCUAGCAACAACUGAUUCAUCUUGUCCUGAGUCAGCUGGCAGACUUGACCACGUCCUCUUCCCGCCAUGACGACCUUCAUUCAAAACAUUAAAUUAUUAUUAGAUAACCACCCAACUCCGAACUUAUCAUCCAUUCCACAUUCCGAGGAUCACCUAGACCUUCUCGGCCUAAGUUAACCAAUAGCCCUGAUACCAUGGAUCAUCACACCUUGUCCUCUAGCUUGUACCUUUGCCAGGACAUGUUUAGUAUUGGAUUUAGCUACUGUCCACUACCACUCUUUAUAGUUUCUUAAUAGACAAUGGAUUAGAAGCUUCCCACAGGAAUAAUUUCUCUUUUUCUGAUUACCUUUUUGCCGACAUAAUAAAAAUCGGUGGUCCCUAUUGUUUUUACGAAGCAAUUUGGUGAUCUGUUUUUAUGUGCGGGAUACAAUUAAAGUAGAAAAAAAAGGAUUUAACUCUUUUUUGAGUGGUUCAAAAUAAAAAGUUAGUUUAAAUGUUCCUCGGGUGGAUAUGAGCCUUGUUAAUAUUUGAUCAUUUAUUUUUUUUAUAUUUUUUGAAUAAUCAAUACUUAAUAUGAACAAGGAAUCCAGCUCCAGUUGAGCCUUUAAACAAGCAGGAAUAGUAAAAAAAAAAGGAAGGGGAACUAUCUGGCUUUUAUCUGCAUGCUUUGCAAGAAUAUGAGCAGAAGAGUUCCUAGACCUGUUACAAUAAUUAAAGCAUACAAAUCAAAUAAGCUACAAGUAGAAAGAAUCAUAUCCAAGAGAUUGGUUGCAGUCCACGAUAGGUUGUGUAACACCCAUGAGUUGGUGUUAGUCCCACAUUGCCUAGUAAGUGGUUGUUUCGGUAGUAUAUAGAGCUUAACCGUACUCUAACUAAUGUCAAGGCCUUUUGGGGUAAACCACAUGGGUGGGCCCUGAUCCAAAACCCUCUACUGCUGGAUAUCAGCAGUGAUUAAAGGGGGACAAUAUUGACAUUAACGAGCGGUAUGGUGCUCGACGCACCGGGAUGAGCGAGGACGAAAUCUCGGGGCGUUACAGGUUGGUUGGUUUACUGUGAGGUAGUUUGCUGCACUCAAACAGUCGGUUUCAAUUUCCACUCCUUUGUUGUUGUCGGAUGCAUCUUGUACAGGCCGGUAGUUUCCCCAAUCUUUCAUGAACAUAAAUUGUAGGUUCAUUUAUUGUUAGAUUUUCUUGCUUCUACAGGUAAUUUCAUGGACCUUUUUCCUUUAUAAAAUUGUACUCUAUGCAUUUAUGUUGAUCUGUUGUACAUGACACUUAUUUGUUCAUAUUAUACAGAAGCAAUGCAUGUUAAUCUUCUUACACAUCUUGAAUCUAUUUUGUCUAACGUUUUGCAGGCAGUUUUGUCUCAAAGUGAUUACUCCACGGACGACAUACUAAACACCAUGAGUCCUAGACAAUGAUUGGGAGCUUUAGCAAACUGUAAAGUGUAAGCAUACAAGAGUUCCUUUAUGGAAUUAUAGAUAUGUUCUUUUUUACAAUAGCAAAAGGUUGUUAUGCUGGAACAUUAGAAUUAGAACAAUGUAUCUUCCUGAGGAUUCAAUAUGAAAUAGACAUGAUAUAUGCAGAAGCACACUGAUAAACACGUAUAUUAGAUAAGGUAAGACUAUAAUUACAAACUAUAAUCCCAACAUUAAAUCUGUUGGAAGUAGUAUUAGUUGGAAAA